GUGAAUCAUCAAAUUUUUGAACGCAAGUUGCACUCUCUGGUAUUCCGGAGAGUAUGCCUGUUUGAGGGUCAGUUUAAAUAAAAAUCGGUGUGGUUGCUGCCUUUCGUGGUUACGCACCGGAUUUGGGUCGUCUUGCCUUCGGUUAAGUGACCUAAAAUUUUGCAUGAUUUUUUUCGAACGUAUUUAAAUGAUUUUACGUACGUUUGCACUCACAACAAAAACAACUAACCAACAAAACAA
This 240-nucleotide unclassified non-coding RNA is filed under the name Glomus sp. RNAcentral describes it as "partial contains 5.8S ribosomal RNA and internal transcribed spacer 2". The stretch from base 1 to 71 matches the Rfam family "5.8S ribosomal RNA", at positions 84 to 154 of the family's 154-position model. The record is from RNAcentral. Lineage: Eukaryota; Fungi; Glomeromycota; Glomeromycetes; Glomerales; Glomeraceae.